Molecule: ribosomal RNA, 301 nt
Filed under: uncultured bacterium
Lineage: Bacteria
Description: partial 16S ribosomal RNA
Rfam family: Bacterial small subunit ribosomal RNA
Source: RNAcentral
CAGUCGCCACGGUAAUACGGAGGGUGCAAGCGUUAAUCGGAAUUACUGGGCGUAAAGCGCACGCAGGCGGUCUGACAAGUCAGAUGUGAAAUCCCCGGGCUUAACCUGGGAACUGCAUUUGAAACUGUCAGGCUGGAGUCUUGUAGAGGGGGGUGGAAUUCCAGGUGUAGCGGUGAAAUGCGUAGAGAUCUGGAGGAAUACCGGUGGCGAAGGCGGCCCCCUGGACAAAGACUGACGCUCAGGUGCGAAAGCGUGGGGAGCAAACAGGAUUAGAUACCCGCGUAGUCCCUGUCUCUUAUAA